Molecule: ribosomal RNA, 253 nt
Filed under: uncultured bacterium
Lineage: Bacteria
Description: partial 16S ribosomal RNA
Rfam family: Bacterial small subunit ribosomal RNA
Source: RNAcentral
UACGUAGGGGGCUAGCGUUGUCCGGAAUCAUUGGGCGUAAAGCGCGUGUAGGCGGUCCGAUAAGUCCGCUGUGAAAGUCGAGGGCUCAACCCUCGAAUGCCGGUGGAUACUGUCGGGCUUGAGUACGGGAGAGGCGAGUGGAAUUCCUGGUGUAGCGGUGAAAUGCGCAGAUAUCAGGAGGAACACCGAUUGCGAAGGCAGCUCGCCGGAACGUUACUGACGCUGAGACGCGAAAGCGUGGGGAGCAAACAGG